CCGGCAAGAGGGGAGACCGCGCGUCCCCCUGUCGCAUUGUGCCGCUGCCGCUCGCGGGAUGCGGACGAGUCUGUUGAGUGUGUUGUGCCGUCUGCCGUCUCCUCUUCGGGCCAUGAACGCAGGAUGCAAGACUGGACAGGCGACGGGCGACUCAACCACUCAAGAUGUGUAGAAUGUGGAUGGCGGAGGAGCGGCGGCCGAGGACGUGUGACGUGAUAAUAUCUGAAGCGUGGCUGACUCGAAAAAGUGUAGACUUAUCUUCAUGUAAAUAUGUUUUUCGGAAGUCCUCGGCUCAUAUUUCUUGGAGCCUCAGCUGCAACCUGCGAAUGCCUAGAGCUCCAUAUAUGUAUACCCGGUCGCCUGUGGUUGGCGGCUGCUCCAUUCCUGGCAAUGAAAAAUGGCUAAAUGUGCUUGUUUUAA
RNAcentral lists this long non-coding RNA (420 nucleotides) under Amphibalanus amphitrite. RNAcentral describes it as "uncharacterized LOC122394686". The record is from RNAcentral. Lineage: Eukaryota; Metazoa; Arthropoda; Thecostraca; Balanomorpha; Balanidae.